RNAcentral lists this ribosomal RNA (633 nucleotides) under uncultured Micrococcus sp. RNAcentral describes it as "bacterial SSU rRNA". It matches the Rfam family "Bacterial small subunit ribosomal RNA", at positions 28 to 674 of the family's 1533-position model. Lineage: Bacteria; Bacillati; Actinomycetota; Actinomycetes; Micrococcales; Micrococcaceae. The record is from RNAcentral.
GAUGAACGCUGGCGGCGUGCUUAACACAAGCAAGUCGAACGAUGAAGCCCAGCUUGCUGGGUGGAUUAGUGGCGAACGGGUGAGUAACACGUGAGUAACCUGCCCUUAACUCUGGGAUAAGCCUGGGAAACUGGGUCUAAUACCGGAUAGGAGCGUCCACCGCAUGGUGGGUGUUGGAAAGAUUUAUCGGUUUUGGAUGGACUCGCGGCCUAUCAGCUUGUUGGUGAGGUAAUGGCUCACCAAGGCGACGACGGGUAGCCGGCCUGAGAGGGUGACCGGCCACACUGGGACUGAGACACGGCCCAGACUCCUACGGGAGGCAGCAGUGGGGAAUAUUGCACAAUGGGCGAAAGCCUGAUGCAGCGACGCCGCGUGAGGGAUGACGGCCUUCGGGUUGUAAACCUCUUUCAGUAGGGAAGAAGCGAAAGUGACGGUACCUGCAGAAGAAGCACCGGCUAACUACGUGCCAGCAGCCGCGGUAAUACGUAGGGUGCGAGCGUUAUCCGGAAUUAUUGGGCGUAAAGAGCUCGUAGGCGGUUUGUCGCGUCUGUCGUGAAAGUCCGGGGCUUAACCCCGGAUCUGCGGUGGGUACGGGCAGACUAGAGUGCAGUAGGGGAGACUGGAAUUCCUGGU